UUGACCUCAAAUCAGGUAGGACUACCCGCUGAACUUAAGCAUAUCAAUAAGCGGAGGAAAAGAAACUAACAAGGAUUCCCCUAGUAACUGCGAGUGAAGCGGGAAAAGCUCAAAUUUAAAAUCUGGCGGUCUUGCGGCCGUCCGAGUUGUAAUCUGGAGAAGCGUUUAUCCGCGUCGGACCGUGUACAAGUCUUCUGGAAGGGAGCGUCGUAGAGGGUGAGAAUCCCGUCUUUGACACGGACAACCGGUGCUUUUGUGAUGCGCUCUCGAAGAGUCGAGUUGUUUGGAAUGCAGCUCAAAAUGGGUGGUAAAUUCCAUCUAAGCUAAAUAUUGGCGAGAGACCGAUAGCGAACAAGUACCGUGAGGG
This 367-nucleotide ribosomal RNA is filed under the name uncultured Piloderma. RNAcentral's name for it is "eukaryotic LSU rRNA". It matches the Rfam family "Eukaryotic large subunit ribosomal RNA", at positions 1 to 359 of the family's 3401-position model. The record is from RNAcentral. Lineage: Eukaryota; Fungi; Basidiomycota; Agaricomycetes; Atheliales; Atheliaceae.